Molecule: ribosomal RNA, 443 nt
Filed under: uncultured bacterium
Lineage: Bacteria
Description: partial 16S ribosomal RNA
Rfam family: Bacterial small subunit ribosomal RNA
Source: RNAcentral
CCUACGGGAGGCAGCAGUGGGGAAUAUUGGGCAAUGGGCGCAAGCCUGACCCAGCAACGCCGCGUGAAGGAAGAAUGCUUUCGGGUUGUAAACUUCUUUUAUCAGGGACGUAGAAAGUGACGGUACCUGAUGAAUAAGCCACGGCUAACUACGUGCCAGCAGCCGCGGUAAUACGUAGGUGGCAAGCGUUGUCCGGAUUUACUGGGUGUAAAGGUCGUGUAGCCGGGAAGGCAAGUCAGAUGUGAAAUCUGGAGGCUCAACCUCCAAAUUGCAUUUGAAACUGGUUGUCUUGAGUACUGGAGAGGCAGACGGAAUUCCUUGUGUAGCGGUGAAAUGCGUAGAUAUAAGGAGGAACACCAGUGGCGAAGGCGGUCUGCUGGACAGCAACUGACGGUGAGGCGCGAAAGCGUGGGGAGCAAACAGGAUUAGAUACCCGAGUAGUC